Molecule: ribosomal RNA, 431 nt
Filed under: uncultured bacterium
Lineage: Bacteria
Description: partial 16S ribosomal RNA
Rfam family: Bacterial small subunit ribosomal RNA
Source: RNAcentral
ACGCACGCUGGCGGCAUGCCUAACCCCUGCAAGUCGAACGAGACCUUCGGGUCUAGUGGCGCACGGGUGCGUAACGCGUGGGAACCUGCCCUUAGGUUCGGAAUAACUCCCCGAAAGGGGUGCUAAUACCGGAUAAUGUCUUCGGACCAAAGAUUUAUCGCCUUUGGAUGGGCCCGCGUUGGAUUAGCUAGUUGGUAGGGUAAAAGCCUACCAAGGCGACGAUCCAUAGCUGGUCUGAGAGGAUGAUCAGCCACACUGGGACUGAGACACGGCCCAGACUCUCAGGGGGGGGCGCAGGGGGGAAUAUUGGAAAAUGGGCGAAAGCCUAAUCCAGCAAGGCCGCGUGAGUGAUGAAGGCCUUAGGGUUGAAAAGCUCUUUUACCCGGGAUGAAAAUACCAGUCCCGGGAAAAAAAGCCCCGGUAACCCCGGG